RNAcentral lists this ribosomal RNA (368 nucleotides) under uncultured Symbiodinium. RNAcentral's name for it is "partial Bacterial large subunit ribosomal RNA". It matches the Rfam family "Bacterial large subunit ribosomal RNA", at positions 935 to 1302 of the family's 2925-position model. Lineage: Eukaryota; Dinophyceae; Suessiales; Symbiodiniaceae. The record is from RNAcentral.
CUUACCAAACCGUUGCAAACUCCGAAUACCCUGAAGUUCAAUCGCGGGAGACACACGGUGGGAGCUAAAUUUCAUCGUGAAAAGGGAAACAACCCAGACCGCCAGCUAAGGUCCCAAAGUCUAUAUUAAGUGGGAAACGAAGUGGGAAGGCUUAGACAGCUAGGAUGUUGGCUUAGAAGCAGCCAUCAUUUAAAGAAAGCGUAAUAGCUCACUAGUCGAGUCGGCCUGCGCGGAAGAUGUAACGGGGCUAAACAUACCACCGAAGCUACGGCUGCAUACAUUAGUAUGCGGGGUAGGGGAGCGUUCUGUAAGCGGAAGAAGGUGCAUUGAGAAGUGUGCUGGACGUAUCAGAAGUGCGAAUGCUGACA